RNAcentral lists this non-coding RNA (29 nucleotides) under Rattus norvegicus (Norway rat). Lineage: Eukaryota; Metazoa; Chordata; Mammalia; Rodentia; Muridae. The record is from RNAcentral.
UCUUCCAAACAUGGACUUCAGAUCGUGAC